This 445-nucleotide ribosomal RNA is filed under the name uncultured bacterium. RNAcentral describes it as "partial 16S ribosomal RNA". It matches the Rfam family "Bacterial small subunit ribosomal RNA", at positions 354 to 796 of the family's 1533-position model. The record is from RNAcentral.
GUGAGGAAUAUUGCGCAAUGGAGGCAACUCUGACGCAGCCAUGCCGCGUGCAGGAAGAAGGCGCUACGCGUUGUAAACUGCUUUUAACCGGGAAGAAACCCCAGGACGUGUCCUGGGUUGACGGUACCGGAGGAAUAAGCACCGGCUAACUUCGUGCCAGCAGUCGCGGUAAUACGAAGGGUGCAAGCGUUAUCCGGAUUCAUUGGGUUUAAAGGGUGCGUAGGCGGAGCGUUAAGUCAGUGGUGAAAUCCUGCAGCUUAACUGUAGACUUGCCAUUGAUACUGGCGCUCUUGAGUGCGCUUGAAGUGGGCGGAAUGUGCCGUGUAGCGGUGAAAUGCUUAGAUAUGGCACAGAACACCAAUUGCGAAGGCAGCUCACUAAGGCGAUACUGACGCUGAGGCACGAAAGCGUGGGGAUCGAACAGGAUUAGAAACCCCAGUAGUCC